Molecule: unclassified non-coding RNA, 254 nt
Filed under: uncultured bacterium
Lineage: Bacteria
Description: contains 16S-23S intergenic spacer region
Rfam family: Bacterial small subunit ribosomal RNA
Source: RNAcentral
UACGGAGGGGGCAAGCGUUAUUCGGAUUGACUGGGCGUAAAGGGUGCGUAGGCGGCCCGGCAAGUCUGGUGUGAAAUCUUCACCGCUCAACGGGAAGAGGCCGCUGGAAACUGCCGGGCUGGAGUGUGGCAGAGGCGCGCGGAAUUCCUGGUGUAGCGGUGGAAUGUGUAGAGAUCAGGAAGAACACCUGUGGCGAAGGCGGCGCGCUGGGCCACGACUGACGCUGAGGCACGAAAGCGUGGGGAGCAAACGGG